This 780-nucleotide long non-coding RNA is filed under the name Oryctolagus cuniculus (rabbit). RNAcentral describes it as "lncRNA (ENSOCUG00000033567.1)". The record is from RNAcentral. Lineage: Eukaryota; Metazoa; Chordata; Mammalia; Lagomorpha; Leporidae.
CUGACACCUCAUUUGGAUGUGAGUUGGUGAAAGGAGGCAGCGAGAGUCCUGCUGAGCAUUAGGGGAGGAUGCUUGGGCCUGGGAUUUGGGAGCAAUCCUGUGACGGAGGUCCCUGCGGUUGCCCUUCUUAACGGCGAGGCUAUCACGGGAGAACAAGAAGUUACAUACACUUCCAAGCGAGACAAACCUGCCAAUUGGCAGAAGCCAGAACCAAUUAACGGCAAGGAAAACAAGUUCUCCAAGAUCUUUCUAGACCGGGGACACGUUUAAAACAUCCUCCUCAUCAGACUCCACACCAGAUCUGCUGAACUGGAAGCCUUGGUGGCUGGGCCCAGGCCUGGGGAUUUUAAAAUUCUCAAAGUGCUGGCACUGUGCAGCCACGAUUGUGACCUUUGCCCUCCAAGCUCAGGGUGUGGUUUCACUAUCCUGUGCACAAAGAGGUUUCUCUGGCCUGCUGAUAUCUUGCUGGGGAUGCUUAUCUGUGUGAAAACCCAAAGAGCCAAAUUUUCACCACAUCACAUAUAUGAGAUGGAUUUUUCCACUUUCUGCAUAAAUGUUGCAUUGAAAGAACAGAAUCUGCUCAUGGUUUAUCAUCACCUCAACACAGUCUAAUAACAGGCUGUGGAGAAAAAUAUUCAUCUGGGUAAAAGUGACAGCACCAGGGGCUGGAGUCCAUGGCUCAAGUGUAUGGUGGAGCGACCGGGCUGUUCUGCUGUUGCCUCAGUAAAGCAAUCUUUCUCUUGCUGGGUUGAAAAAUAAAUUUUCUGUUUUCCACGUCCA